Molecule: unclassified non-coding RNA, 158 nt
Filed under: uncultured Helotiales
Lineage: Eukaryota; Fungi; Ascomycota; Leotiomycetes; Helotiales
Description: sequence contains ITS1
Source: RNAcentral
CAGAGAUAUGCCCUCCGGGGCAGACCUCCCACCCUGUAUAAUUUACUCUUGUUGCUUUGGCAGGCCGCCUUCGGGCCCCCGGCUCUUCGCUGGGGAGCGCUUGCCAGAGGACCCCAAUUCUUGUGUUUAGUGUCGUCUGAGUACUAUAUAAUAAGUUA